This 229-nucleotide unclassified non-coding RNA is filed under the name plant metagenome. RNAcentral's name for it is "partial contains small subunit ribosomal RNA, internal transcribed spacer 1, and 5.8S ribosomal RNA". The stretch from base 1 to 53 matches the Rfam family "Eukaryotic small subunit ribosomal RNA", at positions 1779 to 1831 of the family's 1831-position model. The record is from RNAcentral.
GGAGUAAAAGUCGUAACAAGGUUUCCGUAGGUGAACCUGCGGAAGGAUCAUUCAUAAUAAGUGUUUUAUGGCACUUUUUUAAAUCCAUAUCCACCUUGUGUGCAAUGUCAGGGUUGGUCCCUUUUUGAUCAGCCCCAAACAUCAACUAUUAUCUCAACUCUUUGUCUGAAAAAUAUUAUGAAUAAAACAAUUCAAAAUACAACUUUCAACAACGGAUCUCUUGGCUCUC